RNAcentral lists this ribosomal RNA (253 nucleotides) under uncultured bacterium. Its description in RNAcentral is "partial 16S ribosomal RNA". It matches the Rfam family "Bacterial small subunit ribosomal RNA", at positions 524 to 776 of the family's 1533-position model. The record is from RNAcentral.
UACGUAGGGUACGAGCGUUAAUCGGAAUUACUGGGCGUAAAGCGUGCGCAGGCGGUUCGUUGUGUCGGUGGUGAAAUCCCCGGGCUUAACCUGGGAAUGGCCAUGGAAACUGGCGAACUGGAGUGCGGCAGAGGGGGGUGGAAUUCCGCGUGUAGCAGUGAAAUGCGUAGAGAUGCGGAGGAACACCGAUGGCGAAGGCAGCCCCCUGGGCUAGCACUGACGCUCAGGCACGAAAGCGUGGGGAGCAAACAGG